GAAACAAGUCAGAGCCGUUAACAGCAGCAGCGCAGCGGCAGGAGGGCGGGUGGCGGCGCUGGGGCCGGGGCCGGCGGGGAGCGGGGAGGCGCCCCCCCGGGAUGCGGCCAACAGAAGCGCGGUGAAUCGCGAUCCUCCCCCAGGUCAAGGCGGUGACAUUCCAGAUUGCUGCUGGACCGAAACCUUACCUUAUCCCCAAGAUGUGACCGCGUUAUUGAAGAGAAAAACUUCUUCAGCCAAGACCGGCUCCCUGCAAGCUACACACCCGGCCCGGGCAGCCCGCCGCAGGUGCUGUGUAGGGGGGAUGAGGGCGCACCCCUUUUCACCAACCUGCUAUCCAGGACUUUGGCUGAGCUGUUUCAGAACGUAGCGCCUGCCCCCCACCAUACCCUGCAGCGGCCAGUUCCAAAGUUCACUUUCUGCUACUUCAAAAUAAAGGAAGACAUGAACGGAAACUCGUUUUUUCUUUUAAGCCGGUCUCCUGCCAGUUUCACCGGGUGCUCCUCCUCCCCAUCCAUGAGCUUCAGUGACCCAGGGUCUGCACUCACCUCGUUCAGCACCCCUGGAGAUGCUCUGACCGUGUUGCGUUGCCUUCCCUUCCCUUCCCACCCAGCUCUCCUCAGCGUUUCCUCCACAUCCUCCAUCACUUUUACAGCUUCUUGCAUGUUCUCUCAUACACUUUCUGAGAUGCCAGGACUAAUCCAGAACUGACAGAAAGCUAAGGCUUGUCAGUUUAAGACCUUUUUGCUCUAGCACGCUUUUUGAUGCGGACACCAUUCCUCCUCUCACCCACACCAGGCACACCCACAGCCACAGGGUGCACCUAAUUUCCGAGCAUCACAAGUCCAGCAGCUGAACUUCUCUACUGACUACGCUGAAGCGAUGGAAUAAUGCCCAAGACAAGGAAGCGCAGCGGCACUGCUGCCUACCAAAGCACAGCAUUACCUCCAACUGCCCAGCUGCACGCAGCUAUUUCCCCUAACGCAGCCGUUUUCCUGAGACCACCCGAAAGCCCCCAGCACUGGGCUUGGCCAUGCGCAGCCACCCCCAUGCGAUGCAGGCGCUGCCUGGCAGCGGGCUGCCUUGGCCGGCUGUGACACAAAGACAGCAGAGGCAGGCUGUGCAGCAGCAGGACGCCGACUGAACACGGCUGUACGUAAAGCCUGACAGCAAGACGAUCACUGGUGGAGUCAUUCUUCAAGGUCUCUGAAAUCAAAUGUGUAACAGCAUCAGGAUGAACACUGCGUGCUGAGCAGCUGUUACUCCUUUCUCUCUCCAGGCAGCAGCCUCAGACGUCCUCUCAAGAAGAGAAAGCAACAAUCCAAAGACCAUCUUCCGAGCUCAGUUCUGCCGCUUUAUAGUAUUCUCAGUACAGCAAGCAGUGGUAUUCAAAGCUAAAUACAACUUAACACCAGGAGAAAAACUAGAUACAAAACAACAAAAACCCCUAACAGGAGCAAAAGCAAGCAAAGGAUUAGGAACAGGAUCAGCUUAACCUUGUCUCACCACCCCCCAUUUCCAGCAACGUUUUUUUUCUUUUCACCCGCACAUAGGUGGAUCUACUUGCCCUUUCAAGGCAGAGCUUGCACAAUGGCAACUCCACGCAACAGGAUUACAGAAUUACACAAGGAGAGAUGUAUAGAAACCAGGUCCAUGGGAGUGCAGAAACGAUCAGGACUUUUCUCAGUCCAACGGGCUUGCUUUUCUACUUCUACCAUCAUCAGGACACCAACAACUCCAAUGUUUCAAAUGCCUCCUUACUACCUACAAUCCUUAAGAAUGGGAAACACUGUACCUGUAUAUAGAGUUUGUUCCCCACACAAAAGUUUGAAUCAAUUACUCACCUGAAGGGAGGCUUCCUAUACACGUAAUUCCUAAAAUCUCUUUUUACCAGCCAAUCGUAUCAGACAGGAGCUCCAGACACUCGUAUCCUUGCUGUGCAGCCAGAGAGCUUUUGCUCACACUUGAGGGAAAAUAAACUUAGCUACUGAAAUAGUUUGUUUUCCA
RNAcentral lists this long non-coding RNA (2007 nucleotides) under Anas platyrhynchos platyrhynchos (common mallard). RNAcentral describes it as "lncRNA (ENSAPLG00000019775.1)". The record is from RNAcentral. Lineage: Eukaryota; Metazoa; Chordata; Aves; Anseriformes; Anatidae.